AGCGGCGGACGGGUGAGUAAUGCUUAGGAAUCUGCCUAUUAGUGGGGGACAACAUUCCGAAAGGAAUGCUAAUACCGCAUACGCCCUACGGGGGAAAGCAGGGGAUCUUCGGACCUUGCGCUAAUAGAUGAGCCUAAGUCGGAUUAGCUAGUUGGUGGGGUAAAGGCCUACCAAGGCGACGAUCUGUAGCGGGUCUGAGAGGAUGAUCCGCCACACUGGGACUGAGACACGGCCCAGACUCCUACGGGAGGCAGCAGUGGGGAAUAUUGGACAAUGGGCGCAAGCCUGAUCCAGCCAUGCCGCGUGUGUGAAGAAGGCCUUUUGGUUGUAAAGCACUUUAAGCGAGGAGGAGGCUCCUUUAGUUAAUACCUAAAGUGAGUGGACGUUACUCGCAGAAUAAGCACCGGCUAACUCUGUGCCAGCAGCCGCGGUAAUACAGAGGGUGCGAGCGUUAAUCGGAUUUACUGGGCGUAAAGCGUGCGUAGGCGGCUUUUUAAGUCGGAUGUGAAAUCCCUGAGCUUAACUUAGGAAUUGCAUUCGAUACUGGAAAGCUAGAGUAUGGGAGAGGAUGGUAGAAUUCCAGGUGUAGCGGUGAAAUGCGUAGAGAUCUGGAGGAAUACCGAUGGCGAAGGCAGCCAUCUGGCCUAAUACUGACGCUGAGGUACGAAAGCAUGGGGAGCAAACAGGAUUAGAUACCCUGGUAGUCCAUGCCGUAAACGAUGUCUACUAGCCGUUGGGGCCUUUGAGGCUUUAGUGGCGCAGCUAACGCGAUAAGUAGACCGCCUGGGGAGUACGGUCGCAAGACUAAAACUCAAAUGAAUUGACGGGGGCCCGCACAAGCGGUGGAGCAUGUGGUUUAAUUCGAUGCAACGCGAAGAACCUUACCUGGCCUUGACAUACUAAGAACUUUCCAGAGAUGGAUUGGUGCCUUCGGGAACUUAGAUACAGGUGCUGCAUGGCUGUCGUCAGCUCGUGUCGUGAGAUGUUGGGUUAAGUCCCGCAACGAGCGCAACCCUUUUCCUUAUUUGCCAGCGGGUAAUGCCGGGAACUUUAAGGAUACUGCCAGUGACAAACUGGAGGAAGGCGGGGACGACGUCAAGUCAUCAUGGCCCUUACGGCCAGGGCUACACACGUGCUACAAUGGUCGGUACAAAGGGUUGCUACCUCGCGAGAGGAUGCUAAUCUCAAAAAGCCGAUCGUAGUCCGGAUCGCAGUCUGCAACUCGACUGCGUGAAG
RNAcentral lists this ribosomal RNA (1236 nucleotides) under Acinetobacter calcoaceticus. RNAcentral's name for it is "bacterial SSU rRNA". It matches the Rfam family "Bacterial small subunit ribosomal RNA", at positions 94 to 1325 of the family's 1533-position model. The record is from RNAcentral. Lineage: Bacteria; Pseudomonadati; Pseudomonadota; Gammaproteobacteria; Moraxellales; Moraxellaceae.